GAUGAACGCUGGCGGCGUGCCUAAUACAUGCAAGUCGAGCGAACAGACGAGGAGCUUGCUCCUCUGACGUUAGCGGCGGACGGGUGAGUAACACGUGGAUAACCUACCUAUAAGACUGGGAUAACUUCGGGAAACCGGAGCUAAUACCGGAUAACAUGUUGAACCGCAUGGUUCAACAGUGAAAGACGGUCUUGCUGUCACUUAUAGAUGGAUCCGCGCCGCAUUAGCUAGUUGGUAAGGUAACGGCUUACCAAGGCAACGAUGCGUAGCCGACCUGAGAGGGUGAUCGGCCACACUGGAACUGAGACACGGUCCAGACUCCUACGGGAGGCAGCAGUAGGGAAUCUUCCGCAAUGGGCGAAAGCCUGACGGAGCAACGCCGCGUGAGUGAAGAAGGUCUUCGGAGCGUAAAACUCUGUUAUUAGGGAAGAACAAAUGUGUAAGUAACUAUGCACGUCUUGACGGUACCUAAUCAGAAAGCCACGGCUAACUACGUG
RNAcentral lists this ribosomal RNA (497 nucleotides) under uncultured bacterium. Its description in RNAcentral is "partial 16S ribosomal RNA". It matches the Rfam family "Bacterial small subunit ribosomal RNA", at positions 28 to 507 of the family's 1533-position model. The record is from RNAcentral.